RNAcentral lists this small RNA (811 nucleotides) under Pan troglodytes (chimpanzee). Its description in RNAcentral is "retained intron". The record is from RNAcentral. Lineage: Eukaryota; Metazoa; Chordata; Mammalia; Primates; Hominidae.
UAUAUCUUUGCGGUUUUAGUGGCAGAAAGCUAGAUAAACUGAGAAGACUUAUUAACAGUGGAGGUGGAGUUCGUUUUAACCAGCUAAAUGAAGAUGUAACUCAUGUUAUUGUGGGAGAUUAUGAUGAUGAAUUGAAGCAGUUUUGGAAUAAAUCAGCCCACAGGUUUUUUUCGUUUUUAAUUCAAAGCAAUUUCUACUACAUAAUUUUUCUUAAAAUUGCAUAUCCACGCAGUUCUGGAAACUGCAUGACAAGUGGGAUGAUGGUCUUUAUAGCUUGCACUAAUACAUAACUAUGUGCUAUUUUUGUAGGCCUCAUGUAGUGGGAGCAAAGUGGUUGCUAGAGUGUUUCAGUAAAGGUUAUAUGCUUUCUGAAGAACCAUAUAUCCAUGCUAAUUACCAGCCAGUGGAAAUUCCAGUUUCACAUCAGCCUGAAAGUAAAGCAGCUCUUUUAAAAAAGAAGAACAGCAGCUUCUCUAAGAAAGACUUUGCUCCUAGUGAAAAGCAUGAGCAAGCUGAUGAAGAUCUGCUCUCUCAAUAUGAAAAUGAUAGCUCCACAGUAGUUGAGGCUAAGACGUCUGAAGCCAGGCCCUUUAAUGAUUCUACUCAUGCUGAGCCCUUGAAUGAUUCUACUCACAUUUCUUUGCAAGAAGAAAACCAGUCUUCUGUCAGUCAUUGUGUCCCUGAUGUUUCUACAAUUACUGAAGAAGGCUUAUUUAGCCAAAAGAGUUUCCUUGUUUUGGGUUUUAGUAAUGAAAAUGAAUCUAACAUCGCAAACAUCAUAAAAGAAAAUGCUGGGAAAAUCAUGUCCCUU